This 432-nucleotide unclassified non-coding RNA is filed under the name soil metagenome. Its description in RNAcentral is "partial contains 5.8S ribosomal RNA, internal transcribed spacer 2, and large subunit ribosomal RNA". The stretch from base 1 to 120 matches the Rfam family "5.8S ribosomal RNA", at positions 35 to 154 of the family's 154-position model. The record is from RNAcentral.
GAUGAAGAACGUAGCGAAAUGCGAUACGUAAUGUGAAUUGCAGAAUUCAGUGAAUCAUCGAAUCUUUGAACGCAUAUUGCGCUCUCUGGUAUUCCGGAGAGCAUGCUUGUUUGAGUAUCAGUAAACACCUCAACCUCCAUAUCUUUUUUGAAAUGGGAGUUGGACUUGAGUGAUCCCAACGCUUUUCCUUACCGAAAAGUGGCGGGUUACUUGAAAUGCAGGUGCAGCUGGACUUUUCUCUGAGCUAUAAGCAUAUCUAUUUAGUCUGCCUAAAAAACAGAUUAUUACCUUUGCUGCAGCUAACAUAAAGGAGAUUAGUUCUUGUGCUGACUGAUGCAGGAUUCACAAAGACGGCUUCGGCCGACUUUGUAAACUCGAUCUCAAAUCAAGUAAGACUACCCGCUGAACUUAAGCAUAUCAAUAAGCGGAGGA